GGAAAUGUCCCGUAACUUCCGGUAGCUUGUAAUCAGGAAGUAAACAAGAGCAUGGCUCAGAGACGCUGUCUUCAUUAGUUUUGUAAUCCAGUGGAAUCUGCAUACAUCUUGUACCUUUUGAUAGCAUCGUUGUUUUACACUUUCCUAUGUCAAUAAACCUGUGGACAACGGACAA
Pseudoliparis swirei is the source of this 175-nucleotide long non-coding RNA. RefSeq lists it as uncharacterized. Lineage: Eukaryota; Metazoa; Chordata; Actinopteri; Perciformes; Liparidae. The transcript has 2 exons. The record is from RefSeq and is a predicted model, not a curated record.